Molecule: long non-coding RNA, 4174 nt
Filed under: Amborella trichopoda
Lineage: Eukaryota; Viridiplantae; Streptophyta; Magnoliopsida; Amborellales; Amborellaceae
Description: long non-coding RNA (ATRI_LNC004516)
Source: RNAcentral
UCAUUUAUACUAUAACACUUCACUUUGUGGGGAGUACUGCAUUAAUGGAAGCUCAAUCUGAGGAUUUACUUUCAUAUUUAAGAUGUCCAAUUUUAUGACAAUAUAAAUGGUGUAAGGAUGUAUCUUUUUCUAGACUCUUAACCCGAGAAGAUAGUCAUCUUGAUCACUGGAAAAAAAAUUUAUUUCAGGUCUACCAUAUUUAUUUGCCAAAAAAGUUAAAAUCAGAUUAAAGAAUAAUCGUGGUGGAACUAUACAAUAUUCUAAUUAUACUUUAGGAGAAUUAUCAGCAGAAAUAUGUGUUGAAGGAUUAGCCCUUUGCACAGAUAUAAAAUUAAAGAAACAGUUAGAUAAAUAGAAUAUGACAAGUAAAAAAGAAUUAGGUGAUUUUUGUCAACAAUUUGGUUAUAGCAUAGACCAAAGUAUGGACAAAACUCAUAAACAUAAACAUAAAAAAUAGAGACCUGAUAAGAAAGAAAGAAAAUUAUAUAAAAGAAAGACAAGAGAAAAAUAUAUAAAUAAAUUCUUGCUCAAAGAUCAUUAUAGAAAAGGCAAAAAGAAGAUACCCAUUUGUUAUAAAUGCGGAAGAGUAGGUUAUUAUAAAAAUACAUGUAAGGCUAGAAAAAAAAUUAAAUGCAAUCAUAUUAGAUAAAAACAUAAGAAAUCAAAUAUAUGAUAUUAUCCAAUUAGAUAAAGAAGAAUCUACUUCAAGUUCAGAAAAUGAUAGUAGUAAUGAUAUUUCUCUUAUAGAACAAAUAGAAGAUGAAAAUAUUAUAAUUUCAAGCUCUUCUGAUAUAGAAUGUUCUUGUAGUAUGCCAUCUUGUAAUAUGUUAUCAAAAGAAGAUUCAUUAAUCUUAGAUAUCAUAGAUAAGAUAAAUAACCCUGAUGAGAAAAGAGAAAUCUUAACUCAGUUUAUUAAUCUUGCAAAAUCUAAACCUAAAUCUACUUCUUUACUCAAACCCUCAGAUGAAUAUAAUUUUGCUGAUAUAAUGAAAAGAAUUAAUCAAAAAAAUAUAUACAAAAAGAAUCUACUAUAGCUGAACUAAAACAAGAAGUCAAUGAAGUAAAAAUAGAAAUAAAUCAUCUCAAAAAUAGAAUUAAAGUAUUGGAAUUACAGAAUGAGGUUAAUGGAAAAAUAACUGAUUCAGAUGAAAUUGAAUUCACCCAAUUAGUAGAUACNNNNNNNNNNNNNNNNNNNNGGCAUUAUUUGGGAUAGAGCCCCAAAUUGUGAACCAAUUUAAUAACCAAUUGGGAACAUGUUAGGUUACCACCAUUUUGAAUUGGAGGAACCAUGUGUGGGAAUUAUAUUGGUUUUGGAUAGUAAGUAUACGAUGCCAUACAUCAAUAUAAUCAGAGUAUCUAUAAUGCUUAUUUGGGAAAUCUGGUGAUUGUAAUUUUAUGGAGCGUGAAGGGUCUGAACCCCAUUCACUGAAAUUCAAUAUUUCCCGUAUCUGCAUUUUUUAAUAUGAUAUAAUCUUUGAAUUCUUAUGAUAAUAAUGAGUUAGAUAUAUAGAACAUGUCUCAAGUAGAAUCAUCUCAAACCACUCUCUAGUUUUCAGACCAUUAGAGGGGUUUAGGUUAUUACAUAGGUAAUAUUUAGCUACCGUAUUUAGGUCUUCUGAAGCAUGUAUGUUUUCAAUAAUAGCAUUGACAAAAAAGGCAAUAUUUUCAUAUGGGGAUUUGUCUGAGGUUGUAGGCUUCCUAAUGGUUGGAGAUUGUGUAUAAAUAACGUAGUUUGAGGAGAUAAUGGUGCUUGGCUAGAAUGUUGUGGAUAGUUUAAUGGACUAUUUGGGAUACUGGGUGAAUAUGGAGUCAGGCUUCUGUUUGAAGAUUGUAUUGGGACAAUAUCUAAUGAUGAUGUUUCAGUUUGGGCCUUUCUUUUGGAUUGUAUGGUAUUGGUAUUCAUGAUUUGAUUAUCAAUCGCUCAAUUUUUACUGAAUAAUAUUAAUGGUAAAGAUAAUUCAGGUGGAUCAAAGCUAUCAGUGUUGCCCUGUCUGCAAAAAUUCACGGGUGAGAAAAUCAGGAAGGUGGUUAGUAAAACCUUUUAAAUGUUCAAUAGAAAAGUCGAAGGAUGAUAAAAUUGCUUGCGAUCGGGCAAAGAUUUGUUUCGAAACCAAGUUUUGCACAUCUUUCUCAAAAAUAUCUUUGGCAGCUUUGCAAUCAGUACGAAUAAGAAAAUGAGUAUUUAAGAUAUCACUUUGGAAUUUGGUAAUACGAUGUACAAUAGCAAGAAGUUCUUUUUUGACAGUAGAAUAAUUUUGUUGAGUAGAAUUCCAUGCUUUAGAUGUAUAUCUUUCCAAUUGUUCAGUGGUGUUUAUUUUUUGUUUUAAUAUAACCUCAUAAUCCUAAUUCAGAGGCAUCACAUUCAAUUAUGUUAAAAGUAUUAGGUUGAGCUAAUAUUAGGCAAGGUAACUCUUUUGCUUUGAGUUUAAUUGCUUGUACAACUUGAGUAUGUUCAUUUGUCUACUUGGGAGGAUUCUUUUUUAGUCUAUCAUAUAGGGGUUUAGCAUCUAAUACUAGAUUUUCAUAGAAAUCAACAAUAUAAUUUAAACAACUUAAGAAUCUUUGUAAUUCAGUUUUAUCUAAUAUAAUAUCUGAAAAUUUAUCAGCAAAUUGAAUAGAUCUUUCUAUUGGGAUAAUUGUUCCAUGAUAAAUAUGAUGUCUUAAGAAUCUAAUCUUAGUUUGACAUAUAUUAAUUUUUUUAGCAGAGACUACUUGUCCUACAUGUUUAACACAGAAUAAUUAUACCAAUUUAUGUAUGCAAUCCAUAGGAAAACAAACUAUGAGAAUAUAAAAUAUGAUCAGAUCAAACCCAAUUUUAGAACCUAAGAAAACUUUAUUAUUUAAACCUCCGAUUGACUUAAGUAAAUUUCGUAUGAUUGAAAACCAUAAAAUUUUAAUGGAUCAACUAAUAUCAAGACUAGCUGAUUUAGAUAUAAAAGAUAUAAAAGGAAAAACUAAAAUACCAAAAUCCUUUACUUUAGCCCUUCAAGAAGAAAUACCAGUAAUAGAUGAUACUAUUGAACACCAGACAUUAGCUUUUACAUAAUCAAAUAAUCCACAUAUUCAAAUAAUAGCAUAUGGUAAAGGUUGGAAACCUGCUACGGCGAGACCUUACCAUCAUAGACCCAUACCAGUUGAUAUUCAAUUUGAAGAAGAUUUAAUAUCACAUACAACUUCCUAUUCUGGAAGAUCAAUAGUUAAUUGGAACAUUGACGGCAUGGCUGAAACCCAAAUAUUAGAUACUAUGAAACAUUUGACAAUGUAUGCUUCAGCCUAAAAAAUAGUUGGCAACCAAGACCAAGAAGUGGUCAAAGUUAUAGUCUGUGGAUUUACUGGCUGGUUAAGAGGUUGGUGGAAUUUUCACUUCCCUGAAACAUUAAAAAAUCAAAUAUUAAUCAAUACUCGUCAAUGGACUGAUAAAAAUGAACAAAAUCAAGAUAUCCUCUAUUCUGAAAGUGAUGCUGUUAAUACUCUCAUUUAUACUAUAACACUUCACUUUGUGGGGAGUACUGCAUUAAUGGAAGCUCAAUCUGAGGAUUUACUUUCAUAUUUAAGAUGUCCAAUUUUAUCACAAUAUAAAUGGUGUAAGGAUGUUUCUUUUUCUAGACUCUUAACCCGAGAAGAUAGUCAUCUUGAUCACUGGAAAAAAAAUUUAUUUCAAGUCUACCAUAUUUAUUUGCCAAAAAAGUUAAAAUCAGAUUAAAGAAUAAUCGUGGUGGAACUAUACAAUAUUCUAAUUAUACUUUAGGAGAAUUAUCAGCAGAAAUAUGUGUUGAAGGAUUAGCCCUUUGCACAGAUAUGAAAUUAAAGAAACAGUUAGAUAAAUAGAAUAUGACAAGUAAAAAAGAUUUAGAUAUUUUGUCAACAAUUUGGUUAUAGCAUAGACCAAAGUAUGGACAAAACUCAUAAACAUAAACAUAAAAAAUAGAGACCUGAUAAGAAAGAAAGAAAAUUAUAUAAAAGAAAGACAAGAGAAAAAUAUAUAAAAAAAUUCUUGCCCAAAGAUCAUUAUAGAAAAGGCAAAAAGAAGAUACCCAUUUGUUAUAAAUGCGGAAGAGUAGGUCAUUAUAAAAAUACAUGUAAGGCUAGAAAAAAAUUUAAAUGCAAUCAUAUUAGAUGAAAACAUAAGAAAUCAAAUAUAUGAUAUUAUCCAAUUAGAUAAAGAAGAAUCUAC